This 565-nucleotide long non-coding RNA is filed under the name Homo sapiens (human). RNAcentral's name for it is "HSALNT0332421". The record is from RNAcentral. Lineage: Eukaryota; Metazoa; Chordata; Mammalia; Primates; Hominidae.
CUCGAACCUGGGAGACAGAGGUUGCAGUGAGCUGAGAUCGUGCCACUGCACUCCAGCCUGGGCGACAGAGUGAGACUCCAUCUCAAAAAAAAGAAAAAAGGAUCUACUGAACAUAUCCAGGACACUGUAGAUUGUGACCUUACCAAGAAUUCGAAAUCAACUUCUGCACUGGUGCUCUCUUGACAACGGUAUUAUCUCUUAUGAUUUAAAAGUCCAUUCCAUUUUUAAAUGUCAGUUUCAUGAUAUCCUUUCAUUAAGAAAAACCUUUUCUAUUCUAAUGAACUCUGGGCUGGGGUUUCUUUUUUUUCUCUGCUUUGGACUAAUGAGUGUAAUUACUUCCAUUUGCAAACUCCACCCUUCUCAUCAACUUUGUAUUUUAGACCUAUCUAUUGACUGCCUGGCUUCCCUCGGCUGUCACUGUGAUGAUCAAGGUAGAUGAAUAGGUGAUAUUCCAAUGGAAAUAUUCCAGGGCGUCAAAUCCAUACCCCAAAUGGAAAAAAAGACAGCACUGUGGGACAGUAACUUUAAUAUUCUUAUAAAUGUAUUUUUCUUAUUUGUAGUGGGG